Molecule: non-coding RNA, 126 nt
Organism: Candidatus Kaiserbacteria bacterium
Lineage: Bacteria; Candidatus Kaiseribacteriota
Source: Rfam
AGCCUAAACCGCUCGGAGAUUUCUCUCGGAACGGCAUGGUUGGAGAAUCGCAAUCAACAUAGAGAACCCGUCAUUCAGGGCGUUGAUUGCGUUAUAUGGGGAAACCCGUAUAGGGCCGCAAGGCCU